AGCAGCCGCGGUAAUUCCAGCUCCAAUAGCGUAUAUUAAAGUUGUUGCAGUUAAAAGCUCGCAGUUGAAUUUCGGGAUUUGUCAGUUGGUCGGGCUUCACUGUCCGUAUUGACUUGAUGGAUUCUUACCUUCUGAAUAACCAGCAUGCUAUUAAGUUAGUGCGUUGGGGAAGCAGAUCUAUUACCUUGAAAAAAUUAGAGUGCUUAAAGCGAGCUAGUGCUUGAAUAGAUUAGCAUGGAAUAAUAAAAUAGGACGGCAUGGUUCUAUUUUGUUGGUUUCUAGGAUCACCGUAAUGAUUAAUAGGGAUAGUUGGGGGCAUUAGUAUUCAAUUGUCAGAGGUGAAAUUCUUGGAUUUAUUGAAGACUAACUUUUGCGAAAGCAUUUGCCAAGGAUGUUUUCAUUAAUCAAGAACGAAAGUUAGGGGAUCGAAGACGAUCAGAUACCGUCGUAGUCUUAACCAUAAACUAUGCCGACUAGGAAUCGGACGAUGUUAAUUUUAUAAUGACUCGUUCGGCACCUU
This 520-nucleotide ribosomal RNA is filed under the name uncultured Acaulospora. RNAcentral's name for it is "SSU rRNA". It matches the Rfam family "Eukaryotic small subunit ribosomal RNA", at positions 569 to 1089 of the family's 1831-position model. Lineage: Eukaryota; Fungi; Glomeromycota; Glomeromycetes; Diversisporales; Acaulosporaceae. The record is from RNAcentral.